RNAcentral lists this ribosomal RNA (918 nucleotides) under uncultured bacterium. Its description in RNAcentral is "bacterial SSU rRNA". It matches the Rfam family "Bacterial small subunit ribosomal RNA", at positions 471 to 1401 of the family's 1533-position model. The record is from RNAcentral.
GACCGUAUUAUAGGAAUAAGCAUCGGCUAACUCCGUGCCAGCAGCCGCGGUAACACGUAGGAGGCAAACGUUAUCCGGAUUCACUGGGCGUAAAGCGCGUGUAGGUGGUUCUGUAAGUAGGGCGUGAAAGCUCCCGGCUCAACUGGGAGAGGCCGUACUAAACUGCAGAGCUAGAGGAUGGUAGAGGGAGGUGGAAUUCCAGGUGUAGUGGUGAAAUGCGCAGAUAUCUGGAGGAACACCAGUGGCGAAGGCGGCCUCCUGGACCAUUCCUGACACUCAGACGCGAAAGCUAGGGUAGCAAACGGAAUUAGAGACUCCGGUAGUCCUAGCCCUAAACGAUGCAGACUAGGCGUCGGCGGUUUAAUCACCGUCGGUGUCCAAGCUAACGCGAUAAGUCUGCCGCCUGAGGACUACGGCCGCAAGGCUAAAACUCAAAGGAAUUGACGGGUCCCCGCACAAGCAGCGGAGCGUGUGGUUUAAUUCGAUGCUCCGCGAAGAACCUUACCUGGGUUUGACAUAACAGUGGUAGAGAAGUGAAAACGGAUCGACCCUUCGGGGAGCUGUUACAGGUGUUGCAUGGCUGUCGUCAGCUCGUGUCGUGAGAUGUUCAGUUAAGUCCGCUAACGAGCGCAACCCGCGCUGUGUGUUACAAGUGUCACACAGUACCGCCGGUAUUAAGUCGGAGGAAGGUGCGGAUGACGUCAAGUCAGCAUGACCUUUAUAUCCAGGGCUACACACACGCUACAAUGGUCAGAACAAUAGGUUGCCAAGCCGCAAGGCGGAGCCAAUCCUCCAAAUCUGGCCUCAGUUCAGAUUGCAGGCUGCAACUCGCCUGCAUGAAGUCGGAGUUGCUAGUAACCGCAGGUCAGCAUACUGCGGUGAAUACGUUCCCGGGGAUUGUACACACCGCCCGUCAAG